GUUGUUGUGUUAGUAUUUCUCUGGGUAGUUUUAUGAGACUAGUGAUAGUUUGACGAGACUUUACUUUUAUGAGCCUAGUGGAAGUGUGACAAGACUUUGGUAGAGGUUACGAGUACUUCCAUGGGUAGUUUUAUGAGCUUAGUUAUAGUUUGACAAGGCUUCUGCACCAUGAACGAAGAAAAGCCUUAUGAGAACCCGAUUAACCCCCUCUGUGGACAUUGGCAAUACUUGUAAGAUCCGAAAACGUCUAAUUGCGAACCUUACCUCCACUACCACCUGCACCGCCAUCUCCAGCACCACCGCCACCGUUGCCAGAUUAUCGUACUCAGAGCGUAGUAUUUACCGGUUUCUGACGCCUAACUAUUGCCAAGAAACAUCAGGAUCUAACUCUUUUAACGAUAACCAUAAAUGAGUUUCGUUAUUGGAGCCCAGAAGACAGUUUGGUGUAGGAAGUCGGGAAAUAUAAGCGGCUGAGUACGACAAUCUGGCAACGUUGAACUCUCCACUCCACCACCGCCAUUUCAUUCAGCCCGUGGAGGUCCGAGGCAGAGGACGUGGUUUUUGGACGCUCUCAACACGUUUUCUCUGACCAUCACAUUCAAGGAGGGACUCAAGUGCUCAAGAAUGGGGUGUUAUCUUGUUUUUCAGAGAAGUGUCAAGGCAAACUGGUGGACUUUCACAAACUGCAAACUUCCCUUCGUUGAUGGUUGAAGGAAGCAGAAGAGGGAGGAGGAGGGAGGAGGAGGAGGAGGUCACUGCAAUCCCCGGACACAGACGAGUUUGAAGCAGAGGCCAACACCUUCCUGUUAACUCAGUAGUGAAGAGAUGGAUGGACACCUCGACGACCCAACGGACGGGCCAAGCUGCGGAGGAAGGGAAGAACAAGAUGGUAGAGGAAGAGAAGAUGGGAGGUGAAAAGGAGGAACAAGAUGAAGUGGUAGAGGAAGAGAAGAUGGGAGAGCAAAGGCCAAGAUGAUGAGAGGUGAGAAGGAGGAACAAGAAGAAUCCAGAACAAGAAAAGAAAGCAAGAGGAAAAAGCAAGUAAGUAGAAGAGUACACCACCACCCAACUCCCCAGGCCCAUGCAGGGACCAGUGUGUCAGACUCGCUGGCUGGCCGUGGCGCCGGUACAUGAGCAGCGUAGAGUUCAAAGUCACCGAGACUCCCCAACUUAAUAUUUUGUUGCUUUUUAUUUUUUUUUAUAUAUUCUGCUGCAUGCAUGAUUUGUAUAUAGCAUCGGAAAGCAAGUUAAUUUAUUCAAACUAAACUGUGAUGCUGUAACUCUAUAAACAUUCAAUAAAACCUCUCUAUCCUUGGCAUGAACGACGUCAUUGGAGGCGUCAAAUGCAUCUAAGUAAACAAUCUUAUGCAUUUCUUGAUAGCUCUCAAGCACUCCCAAUCUUCCUCAGUGACAUUCAGUGACGUCUUGUGUGUAUCUGGCUAUAGUACCUUUGACUCUGCAAGGUGAGAGGCCAGGGAGUGCCACACAAGACUAUAUCCAUUCCCUUCAGCUGGAUCCGUUACCCCCAGCGAAGUAUGUAAGAAUCCUGCUUUUAGUGGGCGCAGCGUCUGACAUCUCCAUAAUCCCGACACAAUCGCCUAAGUUCAGAGAUCGUUCAUAAUUCUUUGCUUAGCUCAACUGUUAUACGAGAUGGGCAAAUUUCCUUGACAUCAUUACAUUAACCCGGUAGCAGCGUGGAUCAUGUUACUUAAUGGUCCUCCUAAGCGAGAAAAAAUCAUCACCCACGCAAACCAUUUCAUAAUAUCAAAGCAUUUGUGAUCAGUUUAUGUAUCAUCUAUUUUGGGGCGGGUUAUAUCAUGGCACAAAUUUGGCCCGUCGCUGGUACCGGGUUAAUAGCUAUAUGAUCCCAGCUUAUACUAAUGUCAGAAUUUGCCUGUCUUGUGUAGCAGAUGAACAAAGUAAAGAAUAUGAAUGUCUUCUGAACCUUGGCGAUUGUGUUAGGCGACAGAGAGAUCAGGCACCAACCAGCAGCAUCCUUACAUACCCUUCUAGAUGCCAGGGAUCCAGCUGAAGGGAAUUGACUACAGCCUCAUAUGACUCUCUGGUCCCACAACUUGCAGAGGGGAAAGCAGUCCACUCAAACACACACGACGUCACUGAAAGAAACCGAGGAAAAUUGAGCAAGACAAGGUGUUUGAGAGCUAUCAAGAGACACAGAAGCUCUCCUCACAUACACUGAUACCUACUUAUAUUAAUUAUGUCAAAAUUCGCCCUCUUGUGUAGCAGAUGAACUAAGUAAAGAAUAUGAAUGUCCUCUAAACCUACGU
Molecule: long non-coding RNA, 2288 nt
Organism: Eriocheir sinensis (Chinese mitten crab)
Lineage: Eukaryota; Metazoa; Arthropoda; Malacostraca; Decapoda; Varunidae
Exons: 3
Source: RefSeq, a predicted model, not a curated record